UAUUUAUAUGAGAGUUUGAUCCUGGCUCAGGAUGAACGCUGGCGGCGUGCCUAAUACAUGCAAGUCGAACGAGUUCUCGUUGAUGAUCGGUGCUUGCACCGAGAUUCAACAUGGAACGAGU
This 121-nucleotide ribosomal RNA is filed under the name Lacticaseibacillus paracasei. RNAcentral's name for it is "Lactobacillus paracasei partial 16S ribosomal RNA". It matches the Rfam family "Bacterial small subunit ribosomal RNA", at positions 1 to 118 of the family's 1533-position model. The record is from RNAcentral. Lineage: Bacteria; Bacillati; Bacillota; Bacilli; Lactobacillales; Lactobacillaceae.